This 167-nucleotide unclassified non-coding RNA is filed under the name uncultured Pleosporales. RNAcentral's name for it is "sequence contains ITS1". Lineage: Eukaryota; Fungi; Ascomycota; Dothideomycetes; Pleosporales. The record is from RNAcentral.
CCGAGUACCGGGUCCUCUGGGCCCUUACUCCCACCCUUUGUGUACCUACCGAUGUUUCGUUGCCUUGGCGGGGUUGAUCCCCGGGCCUCACGGCCCUGGGGGACUCGCCAGGGGAACACCAACAAACUCUUGUCAACAGUGUUGUCUGAGAAAAUACAAAUAAAUUA